GUGUGUGUGUACGUCUGUGUGUGAAGCUAUUGUUUAUCUACUCAAAUUAGUGGCUAAAAAAGCCUGAAGGUGUUAUGACCUCUGAAAAGAAAAUAGAACCCUCUUGAAAUAUGCUCUCUUGAAAAUGGACCAGAGUAGGACACUCAGAAGUGUAUGGCCUGCUCACUAAGUGGAGAGUCUGAUAAGGCCAACAGGAAGAACCUCUGGAAUUAUGGGAAAUAAAAUGUGAGGCCCUUUCAAUCAUUGUUCAUUUGUUGAUUGACUUUGAAAUUGCAAUCAUCCUGUUUUUAAUUCUUGUCAAAAAAUUUCAAGUUUACCAUUCAAGGACCAAGCGUGGUCAUGGAAUCUGAAUAGGGCUUUACCGGCUUCCCAGAUUUCUGUCAGUUCUUGGUUCUAGAGGGACAAGACACCAAAUUCACAGUCAGCCUCUUUUUCCGUGGCUGGGUGAGUUCCAGCCUCUCCUCUGGGGGCCUCAGGGUGUAUUGUCAGUGCAGAAAAUGAAAGAAAACCCUGCAGGCCUGAAGAGAGCAGGGAAGUCCGCACACCCAACCAGGGCCUGUGACAGCACUGUGACCUAGGGAGACCAGGGUAAUUCCUCUUUUUGAUUUAAUUCCUGAAAAGGUCAUCAGUAUUUGAUUUAUAAGAGUAGCAUUUCAGAAAAGCAAUUAGUAAGUCAGAAAGGUCCUGACAUGUGAUUUCUUGGUGUUUGAAGUACUUUAUUCUUCCGAUCAAAAUCAUUUAAGGGUUUAGUUUCGAGGACACAUUUUGAAGGCUGUGAGGACAUCUGUUUGGCUGUGGAGAUUUCCUGGGCCUGGCAUAAACUCAGUAACAAUUGUUGGAAGAAGUGACUGCAUCUUUCCAAGAGUAAGGCACUGUAUGUCAUGGUGAAGACAGUCUCCAGAUGGCCCUAGAACCUCUGCUCCUGUUAGCCACACCUUUGGGCAAUCUCUCUUUCAGUGUGGGCUGGACCUAGGGACUGGCUGCUAGUGAACAGCGUCCCACAAUGUGAUGAGAGGGGUAACCUGGGGGACUGUCAUAUAUCACUUUGGCUUCCAUCCUGUUGGCCUGCUCCCACCCUGCUGAGCCCUCAUUCUGCAGAAGGCAAGUUGCCAUGUUGUGAGGAGCCCAAUGCAGAGGCCCAGGCAGUCAGAUAGGGCUGGUGGCUCUAGAUGACAGUGCAUGACUGGGUUUGGAAAUGCAGCCUCCCUGUGGGACCUGGGGGGUCUGCAGACCCGGUCAGCACUUCAGCCGCAGCUUCAUGAGAGACCUAUAUCUGCAGGAUCCCAGCUAAGCUGUGUCUGGAUUCCUGACCUGCAAAGAAUCCUGAGAUAUUAAAUAUAUAUUAACUUUUCCUUAAAUGUGGCUACCAUAACAUUUGCACUUACAUAUGCAACUCUCAUUUUAUUUUCUUGGAAAGCACUCCCC
This 1425-nucleotide long non-coding RNA is filed under the name Marmota monax (woodchuck). Lineage: Eukaryota; Metazoa; Chordata; Mammalia; Rodentia; Sciuridae. The record is from RNAcentral.